Molecule: transfer RNA, 85 nt
Filed under: Felis catus (domestic cat)
Lineage: Eukaryota; Metazoa; Chordata; Mammalia; Carnivora; Felidae
Rfam family: tRNA
About the family: Transfer RNA (tRNA) molecules are approximately 80 nucleotides in length. Their secondary structure includes four short double-helical elements and three loops (D, anti-codon, and T loops).
Source: Rfam by way of RNAcentral
GCCUGGGUGGCUCAGUCUGUUAAGCAACUGACUUCAACUCAGUUCAUGAUCUCAUGGUUCAUAGGUUCAAGCCCUGCAUCAGGCU